GAUGAACGCUGGCGGCAUGCCUAAAACAUGCAAGUCGAGCGGUAAGGCCCCUUCGGGGUACGACGAGCGGCGGACGGGUGAGUAACGCGUGGGAAUCUACCCCAAACUGAGGGAUAAGCAUUGGAAACGAUGUCUAAUACCGCAUAUGGUCUUCGGAUUAAAGCUUCGGCGGUUUGGGAAGAGCCCGCGUAAGAUUAGCUAGUUGGUGAGGUAAAGGCUCACCAAGGCGACGAUCUUUAACUGGUUUGAGAGGAUGAUCAGUCACACUGGAACUGAGACACGGUCCGGACUCCUACGGGAGGCAGCAGUGGGGGAAUAUUGCGCAAUGGGCGAAAGCCUGACGCAGCCAUA
This 351-nucleotide ribosomal RNA is filed under the name uncultured bacterium. Its description in RNAcentral is "bacterial SSU rRNA". It matches the Rfam family "Bacterial small subunit ribosomal RNA", at positions 28 to 396 of the family's 1533-position model. The record is from RNAcentral.